GAUGAAGAACGUAGCGAAAUGCGAUACUUGGUGUGAAUUGCAGAAUCCCGUGAACCAUCGAGUCUUUGAACGCAAGUUGCGCCCGAAGCCGUCAGGCCGAGGGCACGCCUGCCUGGGCGUCACACGCCGUUGCCCCCCCGCGCCCCGCACCCAACUCUUUGGGAGCGACCGCGGGGCGGGCUGAUGAUGGCCUCCCGUGCGCUCCGCCGCGCGGUUGGCCCAAAUACCGAGUCCCCGGCGACGUGCGCCACGACGAUCGGUGGUUGAGAGACCUCUGUCGCAAGUCGUGCGCGCCCGUCGCGUCACGCGGGCUCGCAUAGCGCCUCGCGCCGCACCCGGUGCGGAGCUUUCAACGCGACCCCAGGUCAGGCGGGGUUACCCGCUGAAUUUAAGCAUAUCAAUAAGCGGAGG
RNAcentral lists this unclassified non-coding RNA (411 nucleotides) under soil metagenome. RNAcentral's name for it is "partial contains 5.8S ribosomal RNA, internal transcribed spacer 2, and large subunit ribosomal RNA". The stretch from base 1 to 122 matches the Rfam family "5.8S ribosomal RNA", at positions 35 to 154 of the family's 154-position model. The record is from RNAcentral.